CACGCCGUAAACGAUGAGUGCUAAGUGUUAGGGGGUUUCCGCCCCUUAGUGCUGCAGCUAACGCAUUAAGCACUCCGCCUGGGGAGUACGACCGCAAGGUUGAAACUCAAAGGAAUUGAC
Molecule: ribosomal RNA, 120 nt
Filed under: uncultured bacterium
Lineage: Bacteria
Description: partial 16S ribosomal RNA
Rfam family: Bacterial small subunit ribosomal RNA
Source: RNAcentral